UGGGGAAUAUUGGACAAUGGGCGAAAGCCUGAUCCAGCCAUGCCGCGUGUGUGAAGAAGGUCUUCGGAUUGUAAAGCACUUUAAGUUGGGAGGAAGGGCAGUAAGCGAAUACCUUGCUGUUUUGACGUUACCGACAGAAUAAGCACCGGCUAACUCUGUGCCAGCAGCCGCGGUAAUACAGAGGGUGCAAGCGUUAAUCGGAAUUACUGGGCGUAAAGCGCGCGUAGGUGGUUCGUUAAGUUGAAUGUGAAAGCCCCGGGCUCAACCUGGGAACUGCAUCCAAAACUGGCGAGCUAGAGUAGGGCAGAGGGUGGUGGAAUUUCCUGUGUAGCGGUGAAAGGCGUAGAUAUAGGAAGGAACGCCAGUGGCGAAGGCGACCACCUGGGCUCAUACUGACACUGAGGUGCGAAAGCGUGGGGAGCAAACAGG
Molecule: ribosomal RNA, 429 nt
Filed under: Pseudomonadota bacterium
Lineage: Bacteria; Pseudomonadati; Pseudomonadota
Description: Proteobacteria bacterium partial 16S ribosomal RNA
Rfam family: Bacterial small subunit ribosomal RNA
Source: RNAcentral